GUGCUUUGCUUUAUCAGCACAUAUACUGCCAAACUGGAACAAUACAGAAGAUUAGCAUGGCCCCUGUAUAAGCAUGUUACGAAAAUUUGUGAAAUGUUCCUUUCCAAA
RNAcentral lists this small nuclear RNA (108 nucleotides) under Colobus angolensis palliatus. Lineage: Eukaryota; Metazoa; Chordata; Mammalia; Primates; Cercopithecidae. The record is from RNAcentral.